RNAcentral lists this ribosomal RNA (445 nucleotides) under uncultured bacterium. RNAcentral's name for it is "bacterial SSU rRNA". It matches the Rfam family "Bacterial small subunit ribosomal RNA", at positions 330 to 792 of the family's 1533-position model. The record is from RNAcentral.
UCCAGACUCCUACGGGAGGCAGCAGUGGGGAAUAUUGCACAAUGGGGGAAACCCUGAUGCAGCGACGCCGCGUGAGUGAAGAAGUAUUUCGGUAUGUAAAGCUCUAUCAGCAGGGAAGAAAAUGACGGUACCUGACUAAGAAGCCCCGGCUAACUACGUGCCAGCAGCCGCGGUAAUACGUAGGGGGCAAGCGUUAUCCGGAUUUACUGGGUGUAAAGGGAGCGUAGACGGCAUGGCAAGUCAGAUGUGAAAGCCCGGGGCUCAACCCCGGGACUGCAUUUGAAACUGUCAGGCUGGAGUGCAGGAGGGGCAGGCGGAAUUCCUGGUGUAGCGGUGAAAUGCGUAGAUAUCAGGAGGAACACCGGUGGCGAAGGCGGCCUGCUGGACUGCGACUGACGUUGAGGCCCGAAAGCGUGGGGAGCAAACAGGAUUAGAUACCCUCGUA